Cordylochernes scorpioides is the source of this 71-nucleotide non-coding RNA. The record is from the annotation of a GenBank genome assembly. Lineage: Eukaryota; Metazoa; Arthropoda; Arachnida; Pseudoscorpiones; Chernetidae.
GUAGCCUAGUGGAUAUGGCAUCUGCCCGGUAAGCGGAACAUUAUGGGUUCGUUUCCCAUAUUAUUUUUCCG